Molecule: ribosomal RNA, 546 nt
Filed under: uncultured bacterium
Lineage: Bacteria
Description: bacterial SSU rRNA
Rfam family: Bacterial small subunit ribosomal RNA
Source: RNAcentral
GGGGAAUAUUGCGCAAUGGGGGCAACCCUGACGCAGCCAUGCCGCGUGAAUGAAGAAGGCCUUCGGGUUGUAGAGUUCUUUCGGUAGCGAGGAAGGCAUUUAGUUUAAUAGACUAGGUGAUUGACGUUAACUACAGAAGAAGCACCGGCUAACUCCGUGCCAGCAGCCGCGGUAAUACGGAGGGUGCGAGCGUUAAUCGGAAUAACUGGGCGUAAAGGGCACGCAGGCGGUGACUUAAGUGAGGUGUGAAAGCCCCGGGCUUAACCUGGGAAUUGCAUUUCAUACUGGGUCGCUAGAGUACUUUAGGGAGGGGUAGAAUUCCACGUGUAGCGGUGAAAUGCGUAGAGAUGUGGAGGAAUACCGAAGGCGAAGGCAGCCCCUUGGGAAUGUACUGACGCUCAUGUGCGAAAGCGUGGGGAGCAAACAGGAUUAGAUACCCUGGUAGUCCACGCUGUAAACGAUGUCGAUUUGGGGGUUGAGCUUUAAGCUUGGCGCCCGUAGCUAACGUGAUAAAUCGACCGCCUGGGGAGUACGGCCGCAAGGUUA